This 73-nucleotide transfer RNA is filed under the name Brachybacterium alimentarium. RNAcentral describes it as "tRNA-Glu". It matches the Rfam family "tRNA". From Rfam's summary of the family: Transfer RNA (tRNA) molecules are approximately 80 nucleotides in length. Their secondary structure includes four short double-helical elements and three loops (D, anti-codon, and T loops). Further hydrogen bonds mediate the characteristic L-shaped molecular structure. tRNAs have two regions of fundamental functional importance: the anti-codon, which is responsible for specific mRNA codon recognition, and the 3' end, to which the tRNAs corresponding amino acid is attached (by aminoacyl-tRNA synthetases). tRNAs cope with the degeneracy of the genetic code in two manners: having more than one tRNA (with a specific anti-codon) for a particular amino acid; and 'wobble' base-pairing, i.e. permitting non-standard base-pairing at the 3rd anti-codon position. The record is from RNAcentral. Lineage: Bacteria; Bacillati; Actinomycetota; Actinomycetes; Micrococcales; Dermabacteraceae.
GCCCCGUUCGUCUAGUGGCCUAGGACGCCGCCCUCUCACGGCGGUAACACCGGUUCAAAUCCGGUACGGGGUA